This 75-nucleotide transfer RNA is filed under the name Spirochaetaceae bacterium. RNAcentral describes it as "tRNA-Gly". It matches the Rfam family "tRNA". Rfam says of the family: Transfer RNA (tRNA) molecules are approximately 80 nucleotides in length. Their secondary structure includes four short double-helical elements and three loops (D, anti-codon, and T loops). The record is from RNAcentral. RNAcentral also lists the same sequence under 1 other name. Lineage: Bacteria; Pseudomonadati; Spirochaetota; Spirochaetia; Spirochaetales; Spirochaetaceae.
GCGACCGUCGUAUAACGGCUAUUACCCCAGCCUUCCAAGCUGGAGACGUGGGUUCGACUCCCAUCGGUCGCUCGA